AGUGAACGCUGGCGGUAGGCCUAACACAUGCAAGUCGAACGGCAACACAGUAAGAGUUUGCUCUUACGGGUGGCGAGUGGCGGACGGGUGAGGAAUACAUCGGAAUCUACUUUUUCGUGGGGGAUAACGUAGGGAAACUUACGAUAAUACCGCAUACGACCUACGGGUGAAAGCAGGGGAUCUUCGGACCUUGCGCGAUUGAAUGAGCCGAUGUCGGAUUAGCUAGUUGGCGGGGUAAAGGCCCACCAAGGCGACGAUCCGUAGCUGGUCUGAGAGGAUGAUCAGCCACACUGGAACUGAGACACGGUCCAGACUCCUACGGGAGGCAGCAGUGGGGAAUAUUGCACAAUGGGCGCAAGCCUGAUCCAGCCAUACCGCGUGGGUGAAGAAGGCCUUCGGGUUGUAAAGCCCUUUUAUUGGGAAAGAAAAGCAGCAGGUUAAUACCUCGCUGUUCUGACGGUACCCAAAGAAUAAGCACCGGCUAACUUCGUG
Molecule: ribosomal RNA, 492 nt
Filed under: uncultured bacterium
Lineage: Bacteria
Description: partial 16S ribosomal RNA
Rfam family: Bacterial small subunit ribosomal RNA
Source: RNAcentral